Molecule: long non-coding RNA, 492 nt
Filed under: Homo sapiens (human)
Lineage: Eukaryota; Metazoa; Chordata; Mammalia; Primates; Hominidae
Description: HSALNT0355232
Source: RNAcentral
CCGCCGGGAGGGGAUUUGUGCCAGGAGGGGGCUUCUUAGUUGCCCCUUCCCACCAGCAGCACUUUUAAAAGCAUUUAAUCCGCCCGGAGCGGCCUUCGGAGAACAUCCUGAUGGACUAUUUAGGUGUGAAAAGCAGAGGCUCAGGGGCUGACCUGGGAGGAGAAGCUGCAGGAAACCCAGCAAGAAAUGCCCAGAGUCUGUCUACCAGAAUUCCACCAUCUGAAGUCCCCGGGGUGCAAAUCCUGUUUGCUGUUAAUUCUUCCAGCUCUCACGUAUGGUGGCUUGUUGUGUCACGUGUUUUGCAAUUUUGCAUUGCGCGUUCCAUCUUUGUCAGAGCUUUAUCCGUGGGAAUCGGUGUGUCUAGGCUGGGAGUCCGUCUCUCCCUGGGGGGUGAGCUUAUACUUCCACGAGGCACCAGAAGACACUCCAAACCCAAGACUGCUUGAAGUUUAGUUCCCAUCUUGCAUGUAGAAUAAAUUCAGAUCCAAAAUA